RNAcentral lists this ribosomal RNA (300 nucleotides) under uncultured Bacillus sp. Its description in RNAcentral is "partial 16S ribosomal RNA". It matches the Rfam family "Bacterial small subunit ribosomal RNA", at positions 496 to 795 of the family's 1533-position model. The record is from RNAcentral. Lineage: Bacteria; Bacillati; Bacillota; Bacilli; Caryophanales; Bacillaceae.
GGAAAGUACGGGCGAGGGGGGGGGGAAAUAAGUAGGGGGCAAGUGUUAUUCGGAGUUACUGGGGGUAAAGGGAACGUAGGUGGCUAGGAAAGUCAGGUGUGAAAGCCCGGGGCUCAACCCCGGGAUUGCACUUGAAACUACUUGGCUAGAGUGCAGGAGAGGUAAGUGGAAUUCCUAGUGUAGCGGUGAAAUGCGUAGAUAUUAGGAGGAACACCAGUGGCGAAGGCGGCUUACUGGACUGUAACUGACACUGAGGCUCGAAAGCGUGGGGAGCAAACAGGAUUAGAUACCCGUGUAGUC